GUGCUAUAGGAGAUAAGGAGUUUCUUAUUUACUAUUCUGGCAUUCUGAGAAGUUGUUCCAUGGGAAGAAGGAGCUCCAGUUUCAUGAUGCAUACGAAGAGAUUAUCCACCAGGUAUAUUUCACUUGCGCGAGGAGCUCCAUUUGAUGAAACAGGUUAAGGCAUCAUCCACCAUGUAUAUUUUGCUUCUGCAUAAGCUUCAACCAGUUUUAUCUACAAUUGUCUUUAUUUUUGUCUCCAAUAUAUCUUAUUUGCUGGCUACGAAGUACCAGUUGAUAUAUCACUUGUAUUACUUUCCGGAUUGUCCGGCUGCCAAAUCCACAUUUCUCGCUCUACGGACAUGCCAAGGCAUCAUCCGCCAUGUAUAUUUUGCUUCUGCAUAAGCUUCCAUCAGUUUAAUCUACAUUGGUCUUCAUUUUCUCACAAGAUAUUUUUCUCCCAACGGCGUCUGUUCAGCCACAAUGGACUUUGAUUGUUGAAUACUCAAAAACUUCUUGCAUUCAUCAGAGCCAGCUCCAAAAAAGAGAGGUAAUCACACAUAUCAUACCUUGUCGAUAUCAUUAUUUUAUGAAAACACAUGAAAGUUAGUGGCAUGGUUAUUGAGUUGCUGUAUAGUCGCGGUAUAGUCGCUGUAUAGUCACCGAGUCGUUUUCCAAAAAUGGUGGCGACUCGCGACUAUACAGCGACUUAUGGCGACUAUACAUGUUUUUUGGUCGAUUAUACAUGAGUCGCAGGGUUUGGCGACUCACUUUUGAGUCGCGACUCAAAAACCAUGGUUAGUGGUAAUGCUUGAUGUGUGAGUGCAUUUCCUAAUACUUUUCAUUGAAUUAAUCAUUCUUUGAUGUGCUUUAUGCUAUUUGGUUGUUCUUUCUCCAAACAAAAUAGAUAAAAAAUGUCUAUCUUGGAGGCACAGAGUUAUUUGAGAAUGUCUUUUUGGGAGCACCUAUUUGGUGAAAAAGGUUUGUGGUUUGUUUCUCCACUCUUAUAUACAGUUUAAUUCAUCCUCCAAAUAAUUCGUCAUGGCUCAUUUGUACACACUACCAUACUACUUUUAGUUUCUGAAAAAAUACUCUCUUGUUGUUUAAAUGCUUUAGUGAUCAUCUUAAUAUCAAUUACUGCUGAUAAGCUGCUGUGCAAAUAAUUAAUAACUUCACCUGUUAUGGUAAGUUCGCUGGUCCCAGAUAUUCCUAAAAUGCUAAAUCAUUUGUUUGGUUGAUGUAGAUUUUAGUUUUUGUUUAUUGUCCGUAUUGAUAAUAGUAAUAGAAUUGUUGAACUUUCUUCCAAAACUAAAUUAUUAUCUCUUCUGAAGUUCAAGGUUUACCGACGAUGUCUCUUUUUGAAGUUACACCCGUGCAUAUGGAGGUCUGCUCUUUCAGUAUAAUUGCUCAAGCUCUUCGCCAAGCAUGUCUUGCUUUUGUAGCUAUUUUCAAUUUAUGUUGCAAAAUGCUGCAAAAUGUAAACAUGUACAUAUUCUUUUGUAAUACGUUCUGGUUGCUUCGCGCUCCAUAAUUUCAUGAUAUGUCUGUUCCA
Molecule: non-coding RNA, 1528 nt
Organism: Lolium perenne
Lineage: Eukaryota; Viridiplantae; Streptophyta; Magnoliopsida; Poales; Poaceae
Source: RefSeq, a predicted model, not a curated record